GAUGAACGCUGGCGGCGUGCCUAAUACAUGCAAGUCGAGCGAACAGACGAGGAGCUUGCUCCUUUGACGUUAGCGGCGGACGGGUGAGUAACACGUGGGUAACCUACCUAUAAGACUGGGAUAACUUCGGGAAACCGGAGCUAAUACCGGAUAAUAUUUCGAACCGCAUGGUUCGAUAGUGAAAGAUGGCUUUGCUAUCACUUAUAGAUGGACCUGCGCCGUAUUAGCUAGUUGGUAAGGUAACGGCUUACCAAGGCAACGAUACGUAGCCGACCUGAGAGGGUGAUCGGCCACACUGGAACUGAGACACGCUCCAGGCUCCUACGGGAGGCAGCAGUAGGGAAUCUUCCGCAAUGGGCGAAAGCCUGACGGAGCAACGCCGCGUGAGUGAUGAAGGUCUUCGGAUCGUAAAACUCUGUUAUUAGGGAAGAACAAACGUGUAAGUAACUGUGCACGUCUUGACGGUACCUAAUCAGAAAGCCACGGCUAACUACGUG
RNAcentral lists this ribosomal RNA (497 nucleotides) under uncultured bacterium. RNAcentral describes it as "partial 16S ribosomal RNA". It matches the Rfam family "Bacterial small subunit ribosomal RNA", at positions 28 to 507 of the family's 1533-position model. The record is from RNAcentral.